This 465-nucleotide ribosomal RNA is filed under the name uncultured bacterium. RNAcentral describes it as "partial 16S ribosomal RNA". It matches the Rfam family "Bacterial small subunit ribosomal RNA", at positions 338 to 795 of the family's 1533-position model. The record is from RNAcentral.
CCUACGGGAGGCAGCAGUGGGGAAUAUUGCGCAAUGAGCGAAAGCCUGACGCAGCGACGCCGCGUGAGGGAUGAAGGUCUUCGGAUCGUAAACCUCUGUCAGCAGGGAAGAACGGUCGCUGUGCUAAUCAGCAGUGAAUUGACGGUACCUGCAAAGGAAGCACCGGCUAACUCCGUGCCAGCAGCCGCGGUAAUACGGCGGGUGCGAGCGUUAAUCGGAAUUUCUGGGCGUAAAGCGCUCGUAGGCGGUAUGUCAAGUCAAGGGUGAAAUCCCCGCGCUCAACGUGGGAACUGCCUUUGAAACUGGCAAACUGGAGUGUGUGAGAGGAUAGUGGAAUUCCAGGUGUAGGAGUGAAAUCCGUAGAGAUCUGGAGGAACAUCAGUGGCGAAGGCGACUAUCUGGCACAUAACUGACGCUGAGGAGCGAAAGCGUGGGUAGCAAACAGGAUUAGAUACCCCAGUAGUC